This 488-nucleotide ribosomal RNA is filed under the name uncultured bacterium. RNAcentral's name for it is "partial 16S ribosomal RNA". It matches the Rfam family "Bacterial small subunit ribosomal RNA", at positions 30 to 523 of the family's 1533-position model. The record is from RNAcentral.
AUUGAACGCUGGCGGCAGGCCUAACACAUGCAAGUCGAGCGGGGUUUUCGGACCUAGCGGCGGACGGGUGAGUAAUGCGUAGGAAGCUGCCCGAUAGAGGGGGAUACCAGUUGGAAACGACUGUUAAUACCGCAUAAUGUCUACGGACCAAAGUGUGGGACCUUCGGGCCACAUGCUAUCGGAUGCGCCUACGUGGGAUUAGCUAGUUGGUGAGGUAAUGGCGCACCAAGGCGACGAUCUCUAGCUGGUUUGAGAGGAUGAUCAGCCACACUGGAACUGAGACACGGUCCAGGGUCCUACGGGGGGCAGCAGUUGGGAAUAUUGGACAAUGGGCGCAAGCCUGAUCCAGCCAUGCCGCGUGUGUGAAGAAGGCCUUCGGGUUGUAAAGCACUUUCAGCGAGGAGGAAGGGUGGUGUGUUAAUAGCACAUCAUUUUGACGUUACUCGCAGAAGAAGCACCGGCUAACUCUGUGCCAGCAGCCGCGGUAA